This 486-nucleotide ribosomal RNA is filed under the name uncultured bacterium. RNAcentral describes it as "partial 16S ribosomal RNA". It matches the Rfam family "Bacterial small subunit ribosomal RNA", at positions 28 to 507 of the family's 1533-position model. The record is from RNAcentral.
GAUGAACGCUGGCGGCGUGCCUAAUACAUGCAAGUCGAACGCUGGAAAUCUAGCUUGCUCGCUUGAAGGAGUGGCGAACGGGUGAGUAAUACAUAAGCAACCUACCCACGAAGACUGGGAUAAUCUCUGGAAACGGGGACUAAUACCGGAUAGGUAAUCGGAAGGCAUCUUCUGAUUAUUAAAGGUUAAAAACACUGGUGGAUGGGCUUAUGGCGCAUUAGUUAGUUGGUGAGGUAACGGCCCACCAAGACGAUGAUGCGUAGCCGGCCUGAGAGGGUGAACGGCCACAUUGGGACUGAGACACGGCCCAGACUCCUACGGGAGGCAGCAGUAGGGAAUGUUCGGCAAUGGGGGAAACCCUGACCGAGCAACGCCGCGUGAGUGAUGACGGCCUUCGGGUUGUAAAGCUCUGUUGUAAGGGAAGAACGGUAGAUAGAGAAUAUCUAAAUGACGGUACCUUACCAGAAAGCCACGGCUAACUACGUG